UGGCGUAAACAAAGGGAAGCGAGCCUGUGAAGGGGAGCAAAUCCCAAAAAUAACGUCCCAGUUCGGAUUGUAGUCUGCAACCCGACUACAUGAAGCUGGAAUCGCUAGUAAUCGCGGAUCAGAAUGCCGCGGUGAAUACGUUCCCGGGUCUUGUACACACCGCCCGCCACACCAUGGGAGUCGGAAAUGCCCGAAGUCUGUGACCUAACCGUAAGGAAGGAGCAGCCGAAGGCAGGUCGGAUGACUGGGGUGAAGUCGUAACAAGGUACC
RNAcentral lists this ribosomal RNA (270 nucleotides) under uncultured bacterium. Its description in RNAcentral is "partial 16S ribosomal RNA". It matches the Rfam family "Bacterial small subunit ribosomal RNA", at positions 1231 to 1500 of the family's 1533-position model. The record is from RNAcentral.